This 2044-nucleotide long non-coding RNA is filed under the name Nicotiana benthamiana. RNAcentral describes it as "long non-coding RNA (NBEN_LNC033875)". Lineage: Eukaryota; Viridiplantae; Streptophyta; Magnoliopsida; Solanales; Solanaceae. The record is from RNAcentral.
CAUACAUAAAAUAGCACCUGAACUUGUACCCAAAUCCCUGUUACACACUUGUUGAUCACGGGCAACCUUUUACACACCCAACCUUUUAAAAGUGUGUCAAAUACACACUACUUUUUUCUUGACCAAUUUUCCAAAAUAUGUGUGAUUCGCUCCAAUCAGAUAGUGACACGUGUCACUAUUUUUUAUUUAAUAAAUAAAACACUUAAAACUACACCUAUACCUCUUAACCAUCUUCUCCAUUUCAUAUCUUUCUCUUCUCCAUGGGAGAUUAACGCCAGACACCACCAAAAAUUCACAUUUAAUCACCAUCAUAUUAUAAAGUAAAAUUAGUAACUCAAGUACAUUAAUCACGAGUUUGUGAGCCUAGAUUUAAAUCUAACACAAGAAAUAUAAUGCAAAACUCAAAACUCCAUUAAAGUUGGUUAUGGCCAAAUCCAUGGUUGCUCGAUUCGUGGUAUAGAUUCAAACCAAGAUUUAUAAAAUUCUCUUGAUAUAGAUUUCUUUUAACUUUCUUUACCAAUUUCUUCCAAAGCUAUUUUAUAUUAUUGUUAUUAUUAAAAUGGUAGAUAUGGAAGAUGAGGAGAGUGGGUGGGGAAGAAAUGGGAAAGGGGGGAAGGGCAGCAACAAACUGGUUGUUUAUUUUCUAUGGGAGAGGGAGGUAAGUUUUCUAUGGUGAGAUUUUGGAGAAAGAAAAGGGAAUAAUUUCUUCAUUGUUGCAAGAGCUAGUUGUUUGUUUAAGCUCUUGAUGAAGAAGAUGAUGUUUUUAAUAAAAAAAUAAAAAAAAAGGACAUGUGUCAGUUACACACAAGAGUUCACAGAUUUCUUUUCCUAUUCACUCGCCUAAUUUGUGAGUAAAAUACGCUCUUGUCAUGUAUUCAAAAUGCUGUGUAACUGAUAUACUUUUAAAAGGUUGGGUGUGUAAAAAGUUGUCCGUGAUCAACAAGUGUGUAACAGGAAUUUGGAUACAAGUUCAUGUGUUAUUUUAUGUAUUCUGCCUAAAAAAUAUAAUCACGGAAGAAGAAAAAAAAUGAACAAGAAGAAAAUUAUGGGAUGUCGGAAUGCACGAGUGAAUUAAGUCUAUAACAAAGACAAUUAAAUUUCUCUACACAACAGUUUGAUGCUAGCUAUAAGAAUCCAAAAGGAAUAAUCUAUUCUUAAUGGCCUUUUAUUUAACUGAUCUUCAGGUGAAUCAUUUCCAUCUCAUAUAUAAUUUCAAGAUUCCCUCAAAAGCAGAGAAAAAGAUAGUAAGAGGCAACACUACAUCAAAUCAAAAAGCAAACUUUCAAUUAAAAAUUACAUAUCAGAAAUUAAAACAAGGUUACCUCCACGAUCAAGAAGAAGAAAAUUAGGACGAUGAGCCUGGGAUUUGAAGGGCUUAUCACCAUCAAAAGCAGAGCAACCAUUGGAAUCUUUCUUAGGAUAAACAACAGUUCCAACCAAAGAACCACCAUAAUCAGGCACACCAAAAUUACCAAUAGAAGCAUCAUGCUUUGAGUGCAUUGAAUAAGGUGACACAACACUUAUACUGUUUUUUUCUACUAUAAAUGUUGCCUCAAUUACAACAACAUUCGAUCACACCAAAAUUACCAAUUGAAGCAUCGUGUUUUGAAUGCAUAGAAUAAGGUGACAGAACACUUAUACUGUUUUUCUCUACUAUAAAUGUUGCCUCAAUUACAACAACAUUCGAUAAUAUCAAGAAAAAAGGUAAAACAACUAUGAGGAAAAACGAAGCAGCCAUGUUUGCAGGGUGAAAAGGUACAAACAUAAUUUAUUUAGUAGUGCUACUUGGUUGCUACUGGCUUUUAAAUUUUAUGGGGUUGCGAAUAUACAGACAAAAGUUGAAGAGGUGGAAAGAGGAGAAAAAACCAGAUAGUUGCAUUACAUGGGGUGUAGAAAGAGUCAAGAGAAGACUCUGAGACAGAAGAAGAAGACUUUGGAGUUAUUGUGUGUAUCUUCUUCUUGAAUAUGAAUAGUUUACUUCUUUGUAUGUAUGACGUAGAAGAAACGAAAGACUUUUGGGGGUGGAUGGUGGUGGGAAGUAAUC